CCUACGGGCGGCAGCAGUGAGGAAUAUUGGUCAAUGGGCGCGAUCCUGAACCAGCCAAGUAGCGUGAAGGAUGACUGCCCUACGGGUUGUAAACUUCUUUUAUCAAGGAAUAAAGUGAGGCACGUGUGCCUUUUUGCAUGUACUUUAUGAAUAAGGAUCGGCUAACUCCGUGCCAGCAGCCGCGGUAAUACGGAGGAUCCGAGCGUUAUCCGGAUUAUUGGGUUUAAAGGGAGCGUAGAUGGGUUGUUAAGUCAGUUGUGAAAGUUUGCGGGUCAACCGUAAAAUUGCAAUUGAUACUGGCAGUCUUGAGUACAGUUGAGGUAGGCGGAAUUCGUGGUGUAGCGGUGAAAUGCUUAGAUAUCACGAAGAACCCCGAUUGCGAAGGCAGCUUACUAACCUGAGACUGACAUUGAUGCUCGAAAGUGUGGGUAUCAAACAGGAUUAGAUACCCCAGUAGUC
This 459-nucleotide ribosomal RNA is filed under the name uncultured bacterium. RNAcentral describes it as "partial 16S ribosomal RNA". It matches the Rfam family "Bacterial small subunit ribosomal RNA", at positions 338 to 795 of the family's 1533-position model. The record is from RNAcentral.